UCUAAGGCCAUAAUCACCCUAAGUACACUCAACCUCAUCUGAUCUCAGGAGCUAAGCAAGGUUGGGCGUGGCUAGUACUUGGUUGAAAGUUUAUUUUGUUUACCAUGGUGUUUCUGUAA
This 119-nucleotide ribosomal RNA is filed under the name Nannospalax galili (Upper Galilee mountains blind mole rat). Lineage: Eukaryota; Metazoa; Chordata; Mammalia; Rodentia; Spalacidae. The record is from RNAcentral.